Molecule: non-coding RNA, 190 nt
Filed under: Chryseobacterium sp.
Lineage: Bacteria; Pseudomonadati; Bacteroidota; Flavobacteriia; Flavobacteriales; Weeksellaceae
Source: RNAcentral
CUUUCAUCAAACAGAAAAGGUUUUGCUUAACGCAGAUUAAUCGGGAAUCGUGUGAAAAUCACGAACUGUCGCGCAACUGUAAGUAACACAUCAAGGUUUCAUCAGUUUUGUCCACUGUUCGCCCCUGCGGAUGGGAAGGACGAUGAAAACCGUUACAAGUCAGGAGACCUGCCUGUUUCUGAAUGGACGA